Molecule: transfer RNA, 85 nt
Organism: Felis catus (domestic cat)
Lineage: Eukaryota; Metazoa; Chordata; Mammalia; Carnivora; Felidae
Rfam family: tRNA
About the family: Transfer RNA (tRNA) molecules are approximately 80 nucleotides in length. Their secondary structure includes four short double-helical elements and three loops (D, anti-codon, and T loops).
Source: Rfam
GCCUGGUUGGCUCAGUUGGUUAAGUGUCUGAUUUCUGCUCAGGUCAUGAUCUCACGGUUUGUGAGUUCAAGCCCCGCAUCAGGCU